GACAAAUCAUCGUGUGUGGCUGACCCAGCCAUGCUCCACCUCUCUCCAUCGCUGUGUUUUCCCUGGGAGCACAUCUGUUUUGGCUGCUCCACCUAUUUUUGAAGGCCAGCAGAGUUUGGAAUGUCCCCCGAGGUUUGCCUGGCACUGCAGGAGUGCAGGUGCUGCAGGAAUUUUGCUUGCACAAAGCUCAAGCAGAGCAGGAGACAAAAAGGAGUGGUUUUGGGUGAGAUCUGUGCCUUGCACAAAGGAUCCAUUGGAGGCUGCUGAGGAUGUUUUGUGCCAAGAAGGGAGAAAGAAAUCCUAACAAAUAACAAGUUCAUGGAGUACUUAAAUCUGAAGACAUGUUCAAGCUCAGACAUAACAUCAGGCAUCCUUGUUCAAACAAAAUCCCCUUGGAGUGACUGCAAUUAAACCCAGAAAGGACGUGGGCCUGGUCUUUAUUUUUGAGCUCUUGCCUCUCCAGUGAUUCAGGUUGGCUUGGAUAAUAAAAAUAAAUCUCUCCUCCUCUUGCCA
Molecule: long non-coding RNA, 513 nt
Filed under: Parus major (Great Tit)
Lineage: Eukaryota; Metazoa; Chordata; Aves; Passeriformes; Paridae
Description: lncRNA (ENSPMJG00000013939.1)
Source: RNAcentral